Molecule: ribosomal RNA, 699 nt
Filed under: uncultured Gemmatimonadota bacterium
Lineage: Bacteria; Pseudomonadati; Gemmatimonadota
Description: bacterial SSU rRNA
Rfam family: Bacterial small subunit ribosomal RNA
Source: RNAcentral
AGCUUGCUCUCCAAUGUUAGUGGCGGACGGGUGCGUAACACGUGAGCAACCUGCCCUUCGGCGGGGGAUAGCCGGCCCAACGGCCGGGUAAUACCGCGUAACACUUCGGGAUCGCCUGGUCCUGGAGUCAAAGCGGCCUUCGGGUCGCACCGGAGGAGGGGCUCGCGGCCUAUCAGCUUGUUGGUGGGGUAACGGCCUACCAAGGCUCCGACGGGUAGCUGGUCUGAGAGGACGAUCAGCCACAUUGGGACUGAGAUACGGCCCAGACUCCUACGGGAGGCAGCAGUGGGGAAUAUUGCGCAAUGGCCGAAAGGCUGACGCAGCGACGCCGUGUGUGGGAUGAAGGCUUUCGGGUUGUAAACCACUGUCAGGAGGGACGAAUACUUGGCGUUCAUGCGACCAAGGGUGACGGUACCUCCAGAGGAAGCGCCGGCUAACUCCGUGCCAGCAGCCGCGGUAACACGGAGGGCGCGAGCGUUGUUCGGAAUCACUGGGCGUAAAGCGCGCGUAGGCGGUUGCGUAAGUCGAUUGUGAAAACUCGGGGCUCAACUCUGAGACUGCAGUCGAUACUGCGUAACUAGAGCAUGGUAGAGGCAAGUGGAAUUCCCGGUGUAGCGGUGGAAUGCGUAGAUAUCGGGAAGAACACCAGUGGCGAAGGCGGCUUGCUGGGCCAUUGCUGACGCUGAGGUGCGAAAGCGU